Molecule: ribosomal RNA, 437 nt
Filed under: uncultured bacterium
Lineage: Bacteria
Description: bacterial SSU rRNA
Rfam family: Bacterial small subunit ribosomal RNA
Source: RNAcentral
UAACGCGAAGAACCUUACCCAGGCUUGACAUCCCAAUGAAUGCCCGGCAAUGCGGGCAGGCCCUUCGGGGGCAUUGGAGACAGGUGGUGCAUGGUUGUCGUCAGCUCGUGUCGUGAGAUGUUGGGUUAAGUCCCGCAACGAGCGCAACCCUUACCCCCAGUAGCCAGCAGUAAGAUGGGAACUCUGGGGGGACUGCCGGGGACAACCCGGAGGAAGGUGGGGAUGACGUCAAAUCAUCAUGCCCCUUAUGCCUGGGGCGACACACGUGCUACAAUGGCGUAAACAGAGGGAAGCGAACCCGCGAGGGAGAGCAAAUCCGGGAAAUAACGCCCCAGUUCGGAUUGCAGGCUGCAACCCGCCUGCAUGAAGCCGGAAUCGCUAGUAAUCGCGGAUCAGAAUGCCGCGGUGAAUACGUUCCCGGGUCUUGUACACACGCA